Molecule: transfer RNA, 47 nt
Filed under: Balearica regulorum gibbericeps (East African grey crowned-crane)
Lineage: Eukaryota; Metazoa; Chordata; Aves; Gruiformes; Gruidae
Description: Balearica pavonina gibbericeps tRNA
Rfam family: tRNA
About the family: Transfer RNA (tRNA) molecules are approximately 80 nucleotides in length.
Source: Rfam by way of RNAcentral
GGGGGUGUAGCUCAGGGGUAGAGCAUUUGACUGCAGAUCAAGAGGUC